GGGUCGUUAGCUCAGCUGGUAGAGCAGGAGACUCUUAAUCUCUUGGUCGUAGGUUCGAUCCCUACACGACCCACCA
RNAcentral lists this transfer RNA (76 nucleotides) under Legionella quateirensis. RNAcentral describes it as "tRNA-Lys(ctt)". It matches the Rfam family "tRNA". Rfam says of the family: Transfer RNA (tRNA) molecules are approximately 80 nucleotides in length. Their secondary structure includes four short double-helical elements and three loops (D, anti-codon, and T loops). RNAcentral also lists the same sequence under 1 other name. Lineage: Bacteria; Pseudomonadati; Pseudomonadota; Gammaproteobacteria; Legionellales; Legionellaceae. The record is from RNAcentral.